Oncorhynchus tshawytscha (Chinook salmon) is the source of this 494-nucleotide long non-coding RNA. The record is from Ensembl. NCBI's taxonomy places the organism in Eukaryota, Metazoa, Chordata, Actinopteri, Salmoniformes, Salmonidae.
AGAUUUUAUGCCCAACAGGAGAACUACAGAAGGAGGUUACACACAAGAUUUGGCCAGGAGACUGGGUCUGGGUCCAAUCACUAAAGAUAACGGACUGGAAGCAGCCACGGUGGGAGGGGCCAUACCAAGUGCUCCUGGUGACAGCCUUCGCGGACUCUGGAAAGGUCGAUGACGCAAUGGUGAGAUACGGACCGAUUCCGAGCUUUGGCCAGUGGGAUGAUGAAUACAUGCCUCCAAACCUAGUAGAUGAUUCUGGUUCCUUCACUUACGAGGUGCCCAUGUUGGAUGAGACCAUUUUUAAUGUUUAGGCUGUUUUCUAAUGAAGAUUAUUUUAAAAAUCCUGAAAAGAAGAGUUAUAAUUUAAUGUAGGCCUAGGACAGCCAUGGAUGAGUAUGAGAUGUAAAUACAUAUAUUGGUUUUGUGUGACUGAUUUUGUGACUUUUAUAAUUCCAAUAAAAAUAGAUGUGUAAUCGUGUGUAUAUAAUAUUUAGUCA